AGCCAGCAGCCGCGGUAAUACGUAGGGGGCAAGCGUUGUCCGGAAUUAUUGGGCGUAAAGAGCGCGCAGGCGGGUCUGUCAGUCUACCGUGAAAGCUUACGGCUCAACCGUAACGGGUCGGUGGAUACUGCAGAUCUUGAGGGCAGGAGAGGAAAGUGGAAUUCCCAGUGUAGCGGUGAAAUGCGUAGAUAUUGGGAGGAACACCAGUGGCGAAGGCGACUUUCUGGACUGUUACUGACGCUGAGGCGCGAAAGCUGGGGGAGUGAACGGGAUUAGAUACCCCGGUAAUCCCAGCCGUAAACGAUGGGUACUAGGUGUAGGAGGUAUCGACCCCUUCUGUGCCGGAGUUAACGCAAUAAGUACCCCGCCUGGGGAGUACGGUCGCAAGACUGAAACUUAAAGGAAUUGGCGGGGGAC
Molecule: ribosomal RNA, 417 nt
Filed under: uncultured bacterium
Lineage: Bacteria
Description: bacterial SSU rRNA
Rfam family: Bacterial small subunit ribosomal RNA
Source: RNAcentral